Molecule: ribosomal RNA, 420 nt
Filed under: uncultured Paenarthrobacter sp.
Lineage: Bacteria; Bacillati; Actinomycetota; Actinomycetes; Micrococcales; Micrococcaceae
Description: bacterial SSU rRNA
Rfam family: Bacterial small subunit ribosomal RNA
Source: RNAcentral
GGAAUAUUGCACAAUGGGCGCAAGCCUGAUGCAGCGACGCCGCGUGAGGGAUGACGGCCUUCGGGUUGUAAACCUCUUUCAGUAGGGAAGAAGCGAAAGUGACGGUACCUGCAGAAGAAGCGCCGGCUAACUACGUGCCAGCAGCCGCGGUAAUACGUAGGGCGCAAGCGUUAUCCGGAAUUAUUGGGCGUAAAGAGCUCGUAGGCGGUUUGUCGCGUCUGCUGUGAAAGACCGGGGCUCAACUCCGGUUCUGCAGUGGGUACGGGCAGACUAGAGUGCAGUAGGGGAGACUGGAAUUCCUGGUGUAGCGGUGAAAUGCGCAGAUAUCAGGAGGAACACCGAUGGCGAAGGCAGGUCUCUGGGCUGUAACUGACGCUGAGGAGCGAAAGCAUGGGGAGCGAACAGGAUUAGAUACCCGAG